This 218-nucleotide ribosomal RNA is filed under the name uncultured bacterium. RNAcentral describes it as "partial 16S ribosomal RNA". It matches the Rfam family "Bacterial small subunit ribosomal RNA", at positions 328 to 539 of the family's 1533-position model. The record is from RNAcentral.
ACGCUCGACACCUACGGGGGCAGCAGUGAGGAAUAUUGGUCAAUGGGCGCUAGCCUGAACCAGCCAAGUAGCGUGAAGGAUGAAGGCUCUAUGGGUCGUAAACUUCUUUUAUAUAAGAAUAAAGUGCAGUAUGUAUACUGUUUUGUAUGUAUUAUAUGAAUAAGGAUCGGCUAACUCCGUGCCAGCAGCCGCGGUAAUCUGAGGCGGGCUGGCAAGGC